Molecule: ribosomal RNA, 1197 nt
Filed under: Triticum aestivum (bread wheat)
Lineage: Eukaryota; Viridiplantae; Streptophyta; Magnoliopsida; Poales; Poaceae
Description: partial small subunit ribosomal RNA
Source: RNAcentral
AUGGAGGCACCGAGAAAUCACGGCGCGCCAUGCCUGCUCCUUCUGCUGGCACUAGCUGCCCAAUGGUGCAGUGUCUCGACGGCGAGCUGCAGCUUCACGAUAUCCAACUACUGCACUCACACCAUCUGGCCGGGGACGAUGGCCGGCGCGGGCACGCCGCAGCUGCCCACGACGGGGUUCAGGCUAGACCCCGGGCAGACCGUGCGGAUCCCGGCGCCGGCCGGUUGGUCCGGCCGGAUAUGGGCGCGCACGGGGUGCAACUUCAGCACCGACGGCUCAGGCGCGGCCGCCGGCGCGGUCGCGUGCCAGACCGGCGACUGCGGUGGUGGACACAUGGAGUGCGGCGGCACGGGCGGGAAGCCGCCAGCGACGCUCUUCGAGAUCACGCUGGGGAAGGGCGGCCCCGCCGACCAGGACUUCUAUGACGUGAGCCUCGUCGACGGGUACAACCUGCCCGUCGUCGCCGUCCCGCGGGCGCGGCAGGGCAGCUGCAAUGCCACCGGCUGCGCCGCCGACCUCAACCUCUCAUGUCCCAAGGAGCUGCAGGUGGCCGGCGGCAAUGGUGGCGGCCCGGUGGCAUGCCAGAGCGCGUGCGAGGCGUUCACGCAGGACAAGUACUGCUGCAGUGGCGCCUACGCGACGCCAGACACCUGCAGCCCGACGGCCUACUCGUCCGUCUUCAAGUCGGCGUGCCCGCGGGCCUACAGCUACGCCUACGACGACGGCAGCAGCCUCUUCACCUGCAACGCCGUCGACUACACCAUCGCGUUCUGCCUCCCUCCAGCCGGGUUGAACAUGCCUGCUGAUGCUAACGGUGCUCCUCCUGCUGACAACAAUGGUGGUGGAAGCGCAUACGUGCCGCCCCCGACAGGCAACAGCGGGGCUGGGAGCGUCUACCAGCCACCCCCUGCAGGUAACAAUGGUGCCGGAAGUGCCUACCAGCCGCCUCCAACAGGCAACAAUGGCGUCGGAAGUGCCUACCAGACACCUCCGACUGGCACCAAUGGCAUUGGAAGCACCUACGAGACACCCUUGGCUAGCAGCAAUGGCGUCGGAAGUGCCUUCCAGCCGCCCCUGACGGGCGACGACAAUGGCGUGAGAAGCGCCUACCAGCCGGGGAUGACCCCGUCGUCGGCGAGCACGCGAUACGGUCAGCUAUGGUUUCUGCUACCUGCAGCGCUCGUGUUCUUUAAAUGA